This 345-nucleotide unclassified non-coding RNA is filed under the name soil metagenome. RNAcentral describes it as "partial contains 5.8S ribosomal RNA, internal transcribed spacer 2, and large subunit ribosomal RNA". The stretch from base 1 to 119 matches the Rfam family "5.8S ribosomal RNA", at positions 35 to 154 of the family's 154-position model. The record is from RNAcentral.
GAUGAAGAACGUAGCGAAAUGCGAUACGUAAUGUGAAUUGCAAAUUCAGUGAAUCAUCGAGUCUUUGAACGCACAUUGCGCCCCCUGGUAUUCCGGGGGGCAUGCCUGUCCGAGCGUCAUUGCUGCCCUCAAGCACGGCUUGUGUGUUGGGCCCCGUCCUCCGAUCCCGGGGGACGGGCCCGAAAGGCAGCGGCGGCACCGCGUCCGGUCCUCGAGCGUAUGGGGCUUUGUCACCCGCUCUGUAGGCCCGGCCGGCGCUUGCCGAUCAACCCAAAUUUUUAUCCAGGUUGACCUCGUAUCAGGUAGGGAUACCCGCUGAACUUAAGCAUAUCAAUAAGCGGAGGA